RNAcentral lists this transfer RNA (74 nucleotides) under Methanospirillum sp. RNAcentral describes it as "tRNA-Trp". It matches the Rfam family "tRNA". Rfam says of the family: Transfer RNA (tRNA) molecules are approximately 80 nucleotides in length. Their secondary structure includes four short double-helical elements and three loops (D, anti-codon, and T loops). Further hydrogen bonds mediate the characteristic L-shaped molecular structure. tRNAs have two regions of fundamental functional importance: the anti-codon, which is responsible for specific mRNA codon recognition, and the 3' end, to which the tRNAs corresponding amino acid is attached (by aminoacyl-tRNA synthetases). tRNAs cope with the degeneracy of the genetic code in two manners: having more than one tRNA (with a specific anti-codon) for a particular amino acid; and 'wobble' base-pairing, i.e. permitting non-standard base-pairing at the 3rd anti-codon position. The record is from RNAcentral. Lineage: Archaea; Methanobacteriati; Methanobacteriota; Methanomicrobia; Methanomicrobiales; Methanospirillaceae. RNAcentral also lists the same sequence under 2 other names.
GGGGUCGUGGCCUAGUCCGGCAUGGCGACAGGCUCCAGACCUGUCGAUCGUGAGUUCAAAUCUCACCGACCCCA